CCUAACACAUCCAAGUCGAGCGGGUAGCACAAAAGACCUUUGCUCUCCGGGGUGCACCAUCGGCGGAACGGGGUGAGUAAUGUCCUGGGGAAACUGCCCUGCAAUGGAGGGGGGAUAACUACUGGAAACGGUAGCUAAUACCGCAUAAGUCGCCAAGACCAAAGUGGGGGACCUUCGGGCCUCAUGCCAUCAGAUGUGCCCAGAUGGGAUUAGCUAGUAGGUGGGGUAACGGCUCACCUAGGCGACGAUCCCUAGCUGGUCUGAGAGGAUGACCAGCCACACUGGAACUGAGACACGGUCCAGACUCCUACGGGAGGCAGCAGUGGGGAAUAUUGCACAAUGGGCGCAAGCCUGAUGCAGCCAUGCCGCGUGUGUGAAGAAGGCCUUCGGGUUGUAAAGCACUUUCAGCGGGGAGGAAGGCGNUAAGGUUAAUAACCUUGUCGAUUGACGUUACCCGCAGAAGAAGCACCGGCUAACUCCGUGCCAGCAGCCGCGGUAAUACGGAGGGUGCAAGCGUUAAUCGGAAUUACUGGGCGUAAAGCGCACGCAGGCGGUCUGUCAAGUCGGAUGUGAAAUCCCCCGGGCUCAACCUGGGAACUGCAUUCCAAAACUGGCAGGCUAGAGUCUUUGUAGAGGGGGGUAGAAUUCCAGGUGUAGCGGUGAAAAUGCGUAGAAAUUCUGGAGGAAUACCGGGGCGAAGGCGGCCCCCUGGACCAAAGACUGACCGUCAGGGCGAAAGCGCUGGGGGAGCAAACAGGAUUAGAUACCCUGGUAGUCCCCGUAACGAUAGUCGAUUUGGAGGUUGUGCCCUUGAGGCGUGGCUUCCGGAGCUAACGCGUUAAAUCCACCGCCUGGGGAGUACGGCCGCAAGGUUAAAACUCAAAUGAAUUGACGGGGGCCCGCACAAGCGGUGGAGCAUGUGGUUUAAUUCGAUGCAACGCGAAGAACCUUACCUGGUCUUGACAUCCACAGAACUUUCCAGAGAUGGAUUGGUGCCUUCGGGAACUGUGAGACAGGUGCUGCAUGGCUGUCGUCAGCUCGUGUUGUGAAAUGUUGGGUUAAGUCCCGCAACGAGCGCAACCCUUAUCCUUUGUUGCCAGCGGUUCGGCCGGGAACUCAAAGGAGACUGCCAGUGAUAAACUGGAGGAAGGUGGGGAUGACGUCAAGUCAUCAUGGCCCUUACGACCAGGGCUACACACGUGCUACAAUGGCAUAUACAAAGAGAAGCGACCUCGCGAGAGCAAGCGGACCUCAUAAAGUAUGUCGUAGUCCGGAUUGGAGUCUGCAACUCGACUCCAUGAAGUCGGAAUCGCUAGUAAUCGUAGAUCAGAAUGCUACGGUGAAUACGUUACCCGGGCCUUGUACACACCGCCCGUCACACCAUGGGAAGUGGGGUGCAAAAGAAGUAGGUAGCUUAACCUUCGGGAGGGCGCUUACCACUUUUGAGAUUGUCCCCAUGACUGGGGGUGAAGUCUAACAAGGUAACCGUAG
Molecule: ribosomal RNA, 1491 nt
Filed under: Klebsiella pneumoniae
Lineage: Bacteria; Pseudomonadati; Pseudomonadota; Gammaproteobacteria; Enterobacterales; Enterobacteriaceae
Description: 16S ribosomal RNA
Rfam family: Bacterial small subunit ribosomal RNA
Source: RNAcentral